Molecule: ribosomal RNA, 286 nt
Filed under: uncultured Chlorobiota bacterium
Lineage: Bacteria; Pseudomonadati; Chlorobiota
Description: uncultured Chlorobi bacterium partial 16S ribosomal RNA
Rfam family: Bacterial small subunit ribosomal RNA
Source: RNAcentral
GACGAACGCUGGCGGCGUGCUUAACACAUGCAAGUCUACGAGAAUAAGGUAGCAAUAUCUUUAGUAAAGUGGCGCACGGGUGAGUAACACGUAAGUAACCUACCUUUAGAUUUGGAAUAACCCCGAGAAAUCGGGGCUAAUACCGAAUGAUGCAGCGGCACCACAUGGUGAUGUUGUUAAAGUCUAUAUGACGUCUAAAGAUGGGCUUGCGUCUGAUUAGCUAGUUGGUGAGGUAACGGCUCACCUAGGCAACGAUCAUUAGGGGUUCUGAGAGGAAGGUCCCCCA